This 711-nucleotide long non-coding RNA is filed under the name Mytilus galloprovincialis (Mediterranean mussel). Lineage: Eukaryota; Metazoa; Mollusca; Bivalvia; Mytilida; Mytilidae. The record is from RNAcentral.
AAAUAGUUCAAUUUCGACCCUGAUUUGGACCAACUUGAAAACUGGGUACCAAAAUCAUAAAUCUAAAUAUAUGUUUAUGAAUAGACAAUAUAAGCUUAGUAUUUUAAAGAGUUCUCUUCAUCAAAAAAAAAAAAAAUAUACCAUUCAGAAAAUUAGCUUAUACAGCAUAACAAACAAACCUACCACAAAAUUAUUCAAAAAUUUCACCUAAGAAAAAGAAAUAAAAUUCAAAUGUCAUUUAUCAUUAUUACAAUGUCUUACAAAUCUAUAAAACUUAUCUGUAAUUAUCUUUAAAAUGUCUUAUAAUGAACAGUAAAUUUAAACAAUAUUUAUACCCUCCUACAGAGUUUAUCAUCAUUAACCUACACUCCUGCCAUAUAUCACCAAAUCAAUAACCCAUUUUCCCCCUUUGAAAAUCAAGAUAACUCCUAAUCCUAGCAAUUUAAUGACUGUUCUUCAUUAUCAAUUUUACUAUCUGAAGUAUGAAACUUCUUAUUUUCAUAGUAAGAGUUUUUGGACAUCCGUCCUUUUUGGCAGUUUUCCUUGUUAAUUAACAUUAAAUAAAAGGAUAGAAAGAUAGUUGGAUUUCAAAGGACGACAUUCUAAGAAACUUUUUAAAAUAACUUGAGAUAAACAAAAGUUACUGUGAUGGAAGAGUAAGGUUUGUAGUUUUCAUUCUAGUGUCUUUUAAAAUCUUAAUAUUUUGUAAAC